CCCAACUCUUGAAUGUUAAAAGGCUAAAAGCCACAGUCACCACUUCAUCAACCUUCCACAAGAUUUCUGCUUAAACCCCCUAUUUUUCUUUUUCUCUUCAUAACCCAUCAAUCUCCUCCAACAAAACCCACUUCCCAGAAUUCAGAAAAACCCAAUUCAGUUCAUCAAGAUCUCUGCUUUUUUUGAAAAUAGUCUUUACUCUUUUGACACGUGGCAC
Molecule: long non-coding RNA, 217 nt
Filed under: Prunus persica (peach)
Lineage: Eukaryota; Viridiplantae; Streptophyta; Magnoliopsida; Rosales; Rosaceae
Description: long non-coding RNA (PPER_LNC000077)
Source: RNAcentral